Molecule: ribosomal RNA, 820 nt
Filed under: uncultured Prevotella sp.
Lineage: Bacteria; Pseudomonadati; Bacteroidota; Bacteroidia; Bacteroidales; Prevotellaceae
Description: bacterial SSU rRNA
Rfam family: Bacterial small subunit ribosomal RNA
Source: RNAcentral
CGGGGCAGCAUGGGGGUUGCUUGCAACCCCUGAUGGCGACUGGCGCACGGGUGAGUAACGCGUAUCCAACCUGCCCUUCACCACGGGAUAACCCGGCGAAAGUCGGACUAAUACCGUAUGUUGUCCAUUGACGGCAUCCGAUUUGGACGAAAGGCUUAGCGGUGAGGGAUGGGGAUGCGUCCGAUUAGCUUGACGGCGGGGUAACGGCCCACCGUGGCAACGAUCGGUAGGGGUUCUGAGAGGAAGGUCCCCCACACUGGAACUGAGACACGGUCCAGACUCCUACGGGAGGCAGCAGUGAGGAAUAUUGGUCAAUGGGCGGAAGCCUGAACCAGCCAAGUAGCGUGCAGGAUGACGGCCCUAUGGGUUGUAAACUGCUUUUAUGCGGGGAUAAAGGAGCCCACGUGUGGGUUUUUGCAGGUACCGCAUGAAUAAGGACCGGCUAAUUCCGUGCCAGCAGCCGCGGUAAUACGGAAGGUCCGGGCGUUAUCCGGAUUUAUUGGGUUUAAAGGGAGCGUAGGCCGCCCCUUAAGCGUGUUGUGAAAUGCGGGUGCUCAACAUCCGACUUGCAGCGCGAACUGGGGGGCUUGAGUGCGCCGAAAGUAGGCGGAAUCCGUGGUGUAGCGGUGAAAUGCUUAGACAUCACGAAGAACUCCGAUUGCGAAGGCAGCUUACUGUAGCGCAACUGACGCUGAUGCUCGAAAGCGUGGGUAUCGAACAGGAUUAGAUANCNUGGUAGUCCACGCGGUAAACGAUGGAUGCUCGUUGUCGGCCUGUGUGGUCGGUAACCAAGCGAAAGCGUUAAGCAUCCCACCUGGGG